CACUUACUACAAUUGUCAAUCAUCUUGAGAGUAUAAGUUCCAAUUUCUUUUGGGGUGGUUGCCUGGAUAUCAAAAAAAAUCUUUUGGAUUGCUCGGAAGAAAGUGACUCUAAGGAAAUGGAGUGUCGUGUAUUUAAAGUCUACUAGUACAUAAACUAUUUUUUAAUGCGGUUAAAAUGAUUAAUUGGUAUGGAUAUCAAACCACACCAACAAAUAUCACAUCAAAAAACACCCUUAUUUAAUGGUGCAGUUAUAAAACCACACCAAAAAAUAGCCAAAACUGAACCAACAAAUAAUCCGAGAAAAAAUUGCAAACUGCACCAAAAAACAAUGAAAACCGCACCAAAUAGGGAAUAAUACCCAAAAAAACUCCAUUGCACCAAAAAAUAGAUUUUGUACUACUGUUCGUAUUGUUGCCCAACAAAAAUUGAGUUAUAAACUUCCGAUCAAUUGUGCUUGUUGUAGGUGAAAUUGGUGAAAUCACAGGAGACCUUCCAUUUGGAUGGUUGGGGAGGGCAAAUUCAUCCUCCUUGAAGCUAUGAGAUACCGACACCAUCUGACCGAGAAGAAACACCGAUCGGAAACCACCAUUAGACCACCAUAAUCUCCGCCACUUGUUUGUUGCCCAUAACCACAAUCACUAAGCGCACCGCUUUUUCCACCAUUAACGGCCAUCGAGCAUCUAUACAUCGACCACCUUCACAACUGGGCUCACAAAACAAUAAACCACUACCCGUUAACGUCAUCUCCAUAUGCCCUACCUUAGCCGGAACUCACCCGUUAUCAUCUCCACUUCCUGAAAACAAUUCCUACAUCUUCAUUUCAUGCAACCACCCACACACCAGUAUCUCUUACAUAUUUCCAAUCUACCACCUUUAUUCAACUUUAAACAUGUUUAACUUGACGCCACCAAAGGUGAAUCAGAAAAAGAAAAGGAAGAAGAAAAGAAAUUUGAUUUGCGUAACUACCUUUUCCACCACUAACCACCGAGAGCACUGACCACAGAGCCCCUGCCUUUUCCUAAAACCAUCCAUGCACCUCAAUCUCUUACAUACUUCUGAUCCAUCACCCUUAUUCUACCUUUAACAACCUGGCGGCACCUAACUCGAAUCAGAAAGAAAUAUAAGAGAGGGAAAAGAAAUAAGAGUGUGGCAUGGUAGGAUAAGAGAGGUAAAAGCAAGACAUGGUAAGUUUCUACCGAAUUGGGAUCCAAAGCUUGACAUGCAGAGAGCUAGUGUUUACGGAGCUAUGACAUCGCGCUACAUGUUUGAUCCACUCCCCAUAGCCUUAAUAUUGGUUGUGUAAGUGGAAAAGUGAGAAAACAAGAUUUUAAUGAAAGAUUUGUUUGUGACAGAUUGCUAAUGAACAUAGUCUAAUUCCUUAAGGAAAUGCACACUCUUUUAUUUUAUUACCAACCGCAUAAGUGUCACAUCAUUUUCCCCUACUUUCCUCUUUUGUCGCCUCUCACCUAAUUAAUUAUAUAUAUUAAUGCAGUUGUAUAAUACAAGUUGAAAAAGAAAAAUAGAUAAAAAGGGUUGGGUAUGGUGCAUUUAUUUUAUACUAUAGAGGUAUAAAUGUACUUUAAUGGUAGGGUGAUCUUCAUCAUAGGCCUUACAUCUACAUCGACUUUAGGCUAAAUGGAGUGGUUAUCACCAGCCCACCGAAAAAGUGUUCCCACCUCUAUGCUACAUCAGCUUCACUACGAACUCACCACCAACCCACUACACCUUGGAAAUGGUCACCACUAACAAUAUUCAUUUUUU
This 1762-nucleotide long non-coding RNA is filed under the name Lactuca sativa (garden lettuce). RNAcentral describes it as "long non-coding RNA (LSAT_LNC001287)". Lineage: Eukaryota; Viridiplantae; Streptophyta; Magnoliopsida; Asterales; Asteraceae. The record is from RNAcentral.